UGCAAGUCGAACGAUGAUGCCCAGCUUGCUGGGCGGAUUAGUGGCGAACGGGUGAGUAACACGUGAGUAACCUGCCCUUGACUUCGGGAUAACUCCGGGAAACCGGGGCUAAUACCGGAUAUGAGCCGCCUUCGCAUGGGGGUGGUUGGAAAGUUUUUCGGUCAGGGAUGGGCUCGCGGCCUAUCAGCUUGUUGGUGGGGUGAUGGCCUACCAAGGCGACGACGGGUAGCCGGCCUGAGAGGGCGACCGGCCACACUGGGACUGAGACACGGCCCAGACUCCUACGGGAGGCAGCAGUGGGGAAUAUUGCACAAUGGGCGAAAGCCUGAUGCAGCGACGCCGCGUGAGGGAUGAAGGCCUUCGGGUUGUAAACCUCUUUCAGCAGGGAAGAAGCGCAAGUGACGGUACCUGCAGAAGAAGCGCCGGCUAACUACGUGCCAGCAGCCGCGGUAAUACGUAGGGCGCAAGCGUUGUCCGGAAUUAUUGGGCGUAAAGAGCUCGUAGGCGGUUUGUCGCGUCUGGUGUGAAAACUCGAGGCUCAACCUCGAGCUUGCAUCGGGUAC
This 563-nucleotide ribosomal RNA is filed under the name Cellulosimicrobium sp. RNAcentral's name for it is "bacterial SSU rRNA". It matches the Rfam family "Bacterial small subunit ribosomal RNA", at positions 56 to 633 of the family's 1533-position model. Lineage: Bacteria; Bacillati; Actinomycetota; Actinomycetes; Micrococcales; Promicromonosporaceae. The record is from RNAcentral.